GAUAGGAAUUCUAGCAAGUCAAUAUGUAAGGCACAAAUAUGAUUAUUAUUUAGAUAUAUACACAGAUGGGUCUAAGGAUGAAAAUGAGAGAGUGGGCAUAGGAAUACAUAAACCCUCAAUGAACAUCAAUAUUGGAAAUAGGAUACCUGAUAAGAUCUCAGUAUAUACAGCAGAAAUGAUGGCAGUCAUUAUGGGGCUACAGUGGGUAGAGGAGGUCAGACCAGAUAGGGUAGUAUUUUGUGUAGAUUCAAUGGCAGUCCUUCUUAGUUUACAAACUACAAAUUCUGACAGGGAAGACUUAAUGCUGGAAAUUCAGCAAAACUUAUAUAGAUUAUAUAGGAUAGGGAUGGAAGUUAAAUUUUGUUGGGUACCUGCCCAUGUGGGUAUAAAAGGCAAUGAAGGAGCAGACAGAAUGGCCAAAAAAGCAAUCAGAAUGACAAAUAUUAUAGAUAUACCAUUUGGAAAAGGAGAAACUAAGGCAAUACUCAAAAAAGAAAUAAUGAAGAAAUGGCAAGAUAGAUGGGACAGGGAUAACAACGGAAGGAAAUAUUACAGGGUACAGAAGUCCAUUACAGCAC
Non-coding RNA from Xyrichtys novacula (pearly razorfish), 578 nucleotides. The record is from the annotation of a GenBank genome assembly. Lineage: Eukaryota; Metazoa; Chordata; Actinopteri; Labriformes; Labridae.